AUAGAUAUGUUGAAGAAGAGGAGUAUUACUUAUUUAAUAUUUUAGAGAGCUUGUGUUGGGUGCAAACAAGUUAUUGGAUAGUAAGAAGGUUGCUUUGGAGUAUAAAACGUUUCUUCGCGUUAAGAAGUAGAGUGUAUGAUUAGUCAUAAAAUAAGGUGGUACCGCGAGAUUUCGUCCUUAUA
This 182-nucleotide non-coding RNA is filed under the name Mycoplasma sp. RNAcentral's name for it is "T-box sequence". It matches the Rfam family "T-box leader". From Rfam's summary of the family: Uncharged tRNA acts as the effector for transcription antitermination of genes in the T-box leader family. T-boxes are found upstream of many aminoacyl-tRNA synthetase genes and some amino acid biosynthetic genes usually in Gram-positive bacteria. The record is from RNAcentral. Lineage: Bacteria; Bacillati; Mycoplasmatota; Mollicutes; Mycoplasmatales; Mycoplasmataceae.